Molecule: long non-coding RNA, 1282 nt
Organism: Helianthus annuus (common sunflower)
Lineage: Eukaryota; Viridiplantae; Streptophyta; Magnoliopsida; Asterales; Asteraceae
Exons: 2
Source: RefSeq, a predicted model, not a curated record
CACCUGUCAGAAAAUGUCUCACUAUCUACCCUUAUAAAAGUAGGGUUUUCUAUAUCAAGUUCUUGCAUCUCACUCAUAGGUUUCAUUUCAACCUCAAAGUGGAAAUCUUUAAUCCCGUCAAAUUAGAUCCGUUUAAAACGGUCUUGAAACCAUUGACAGGAAUGAUAUAUGGUUUUCUGUUCUUAGUUUAUCGAUCUUGUUCUACGGUCCGGAUAUCAAAUUGGAAAUCAUCAAUAAGUUUUCUAUCAAAUUAUUGGUUCAGUUCAGAUCCGUCUUCAAACCAUUCACAACAAAUUAUAUAUGGUUUAGAGACGGAUCUGAAUUGGAUAGAUAAUUAGAUAAGUACGAUAGAUUAUAUCGCUGGCUACGUUGGGCAUCUAUUUGUAAGACACGAACGAUGAGCCUGUUGUUGCUGCCAAUUUGCUAAUUCCUUGUGGCCCCAAACAAGCAUGAGAAGAUCAUGUUAUGGAACAUCCGUUGAUCAUCAAGGUAUAAUUUUAAAACAGCUGUGGUUAUAAGUUUGUAUCCACUUUCGCUAUUACAUGAAUACAUUGUUGUAUGAUGUUUUAUUUAGUGGUUAUACUCGUGAAUGAGUUUUAUACCCCUGAAUGCCACUUUAUGUUGUAGGUUUUCAUGUAUCGAUUGAGCUGAUAUAUAGAAUGUUAUUUUUGUUGUCAAAUACAGACAUGUAUAUCUGCUGUUACUGCAUGCAUUUGUUGAGAGGUAUUGUUGGCUUUCCUGUGUAGUAUGUGAUUUUUCAAUCAUAACAUUGCUUGGUUAACGACAGAUAGAGGAAAUUAUUGCACAUAAACAACCAGCUGAGGUUUUUUGCUCCGCACCGCGGAAGAUACGCAACAAAGGAUGUGGUAAGCAUAGACGAACAAUUGGACCCGGAGAGAAAGCAAUUAGGAAGAGUAAAAAACCAAGAAGGAAAUGCAAUUUUUGAAAUAAACGAGUUAGGGAUCAUGAUAAGAGGAAUUGCCCGCUUAAAAAGGGUCCGCCGGUUAAGGACGAUUCGUCUACCGAUGAAGAGGACGACGUAUAGGAAGAAGCCGAAACCGAAGAAUCUGGGUCCGAUGAUUUCGGAAGUGAAGAAUAGGUUACGUAAUGCGUAACAACAUACUGUUUUUUUAAGACAAUAAGGUGUUUUUCAGAUUUUUUAAAUAGCACUGUUGAUGUUAGUUUAGACUCGUUUUUAUCGUAAUUUAGUUUACAUGUUUUUUGGGGUGGUUGUAUAUGUGUUUGUUAUAACAAAUAUAACUGGAGUCUUUGGGGUGUUUAA